Molecule: long non-coding RNA, 905 nt
Filed under: Hordeum vulgare
Lineage: Eukaryota; Viridiplantae; Streptophyta; Magnoliopsida; Poales; Poaceae
Description: long non-coding RNA (HVUL_LNC011825)
Source: RNAcentral
CAAACCCUAAAAACUAGGACAUUUGUCCCGUCCGCGCCGCCACCCCCUCGGGAUCUUCCUCGUCCAACUAGCGAGGCCGUCCUCCACGUGCCAACAACCCGCAGCAGCCAACAACCGCAGCUCCUAUGCUGCCUCCCUGCUCACACCAAGACCUCAGACCACUAUCCUCUCAUCCGGCUGGCCGGCAAGCCGCCCGAGCAGCAACCCCGUGACCAACGGGUUCCAGUCCCCGGCCAGGUCGACCUCGUUGCCGCCCUUCUUUUCCCUGUCUCUGGUGUUUCUCCUCCUCUCUCUAAUGUCUCUCUCUCCCCUUGCAAUCAAGAGCAGCCAUGGAGGCGCCGAAGGACCUCCAAGCCAUCCUCGGAUCCGACCCCAACGCCCAUCCCUCACCUCCUAGCGCCGCCGGUAACCUCGUCGUUGCCCUGCUCUCCCCGUUCUUCCCUUUCUUCCAUGCCCCUUCGCUCAUCUCUCUCUGUCUCGUUCGAACAGGAAGCCAUGGAGGCCAAGCUCCGCCGGAUCACAUCAGAUCCGUCGGGAAUGGAGCCACCCCGGCCAGAUCCGGCAAGAGCCGCCGCUGCCCGAGCCUUCCAUGUCGUUCCCCGCCGCAAUCCGUGCUCGAGACCCCUGCCCAGACCGCCAUGGCCUCCCCAUCCCCUGAUGUGAGCAAGUCCCUGCGUAACUGAAUUUCAGUUCUUUCCAAGAUCUGUUCCGCCAUGCUGAUGUUAUGUAGUAUUGCCUCUGAAUUCCUACACGCACACAUGGUUACUAAAGUGGCUAGCGCUCUCUCCUUCUAGCCAGGAGACCCGGGAUCAAAUCCCAGCGAGCUCUUAUUUAAUUUUUGUUGCACCAUCGACGUACACAUGUUGCUAUUUCUUCUCCGGUAUUUCAGAUGCUUAUAGCACAAG